RNAcentral lists this ribosomal RNA (215 nucleotides) under uncultured bacterium. RNAcentral describes it as "partial 16S ribosomal RNA". It matches the Rfam family "Bacterial small subunit ribosomal RNA", at positions 118 to 351 of the family's 1533-position model. The record is from RNAcentral.
UGGGAACGUGCCUUUUGGUUCGGAACAACCCAGGGAAACUUGGGCUAAUACCGGAUAAGCCCUUACGGGGAAAGAUUUAUUGCCAAAAGAUCGGCCCGCGUCUGAUUAGCUAGUUGGUGGGGUAAUGGCCACCAAGGCUACGAUCAGUAGCUGGUCUGAGAGGAUGAUCAGCCACACUGGGACUGAGACACGGCCCAGACUCCUACGGGAGGCAG